RNAcentral lists this ribosomal RNA (420 nucleotides) under uncultured bacterium. RNAcentral describes it as "partial 16S ribosomal RNA". It matches the Rfam family "Bacterial small subunit ribosomal RNA", at positions 338 to 755 of the family's 1533-position model. The record is from RNAcentral.
CCUACGGGAGGCUGCAGUGAGGAAUAUUGGUCAAUGGGCUUACGCCUGAACCAGCCAAGUCGCGUGAGGGAAGACUGCCCUAUGGGUUGUAAACCUCUUUAGGCGGGGAGCAAGGCCGGGCACGCGUGCCCGGAGGGAGAGGACCCGCAGAAGAAGCAGCGGCUAACUCCGUGCCAGCAGCCGCGGUAAUACGGAGGAUGCGAGCGUUAGCCGGAUUUAUUGGGUUUAAUGGGUGCGUAGGCGGAUUUUUAAGUCAGCGGUAAAAUGUCCGGGCUCAACCCGGGCCGGCCGUUGAAACUGGGGAUCUUGAGUGGGCGAGACGUAUGCGGAAUGCGUGUUGUAGCGGUGACAUGCAUAGCUAUCACGCAGAACUCCGAUUGCGAAGGCAGCAUACCGGCGCCCGACUGCCGCUGCGGCACG